RNAcentral lists this ribosomal RNA (253 nucleotides) under uncultured bacterium. Its description in RNAcentral is "partial 16S ribosomal RNA". It matches the Rfam family "Bacterial small subunit ribosomal RNA", at positions 524 to 776 of the family's 1533-position model. The record is from RNAcentral.
UACGAAGGGGGCUAGCGUUGCUCGGAAUCACUGGGCGUAAAGGGUGCGUAGGCGGGUCUUUAAGUCAGGGGUGAAAUCCUGGAGCUCAACUCCAGAACUGCCUUUGAUACUGAAGAUCUUGAGUUCGGGAGAGGUGAGUGGAACUGCGAGUGUAGAGGUGAAAUUCGUAGAUAUUCGCAAGAACACCAGUGGCGAAGGCGGCUCACUGGCCCGAUACUGACGCUGAGGUGCGAAAGCCAGGGGAGCAAACGGG